RNAcentral lists this ribosomal RNA (253 nucleotides) under uncultured bacterium. RNAcentral's name for it is "partial 16S ribosomal RNA". It matches the Rfam family "Bacterial small subunit ribosomal RNA", at positions 524 to 776 of the family's 1533-position model. The record is from RNAcentral.
UACGGAGGGAGCUAGCGUUGUUCGGAAUUACUGGGCGUAAAGCGCACGUAGGCGGCUAUUCAAGUCAGAGGUGAAAGCCUGGAGCUCAACUCCAGAACUGCCUUUGAAACUAGAUAGCUUGAAUCCAGGAGAGGUGAGUGGAAUUCCGAGUGUAGAGGUGAAAUUCGUAGAUAUUCGGAAGAACACCAGUGGCGAAGGCGGCUCACUGGACUGGUAUUGACGCUGAGGUGCGAAAGCGUGGGGAGCAAACAGG